AGUGAAGCAUUUUCUCAAACAGAUAGAUAUCUCUACUGAGCAUGUGUUGAAUAAAUGUCAUCACUCUGGAUUAUUUGUAAUUGGAGAAAUGUAGUGUUACAAAUUGUCCCCUGUGGUAAUUGCCCCCAGUCUCUCAUAUGCUUCAUUUUCUGGAUUAAUGACACACAAAGAUAAACAUGCAUACACAAAUUGUUUAAGUGUGUUUUGACUUUUCCCAGCUUGGGAAUCUCAGAGCCAUGCGGUGAUGCUGCUGCGUUAUCUUCUGCUCUCAGAGAAGAAAGAACGUCAUACUGGUUUGGAACAUCAUAAAGAGAGUGUGGAUUCCCCUCAGCUCUCUCCUGGAUAAACACUGUUACAGGCUGAUGCUGAGGAGCUCAAAGUUGAGUCAAUAUUAUCCAGAGCAAUAAAGUCCUGCACAGUGCGCUCUGCUCCCCCUGUGAGACCGAGAUGAGUUCAUCUCUAAACUGCUGAGGUCUAGGAGGACCUGGACUCUGUUUAUGAGCAGUAAAGUUCGAGUCUGUACAAACGUUCCAAAUGUUUCUAAUCCAGACUAGUGUCGGUAACAUUUUACUUCUUCAAAUUCCAUAAACCCUUAAUGGUUCAA
Long non-coding RNA from Cyprinus carpio carpio, 604 nucleotides. NCBI's taxonomy places the organism in Eukaryota, Metazoa, Chordata, Actinopteri, Cypriniformes, Cyprinidae. The record is from Ensembl.